This 333-nucleotide ribosomal RNA is filed under the name Triticum aestivum (bread wheat). RNAcentral's name for it is "partial small subunit ribosomal RNA". The record is from RNAcentral. Lineage: Eukaryota; Viridiplantae; Streptophyta; Magnoliopsida; Poales; Poaceae.
AUGAUUGCCUGGAAGCUGCACCAUGCAUUAUUCCAGUGCCUUAAUGAGUAUUAUGCUGGAUGGCCUACGCAAGGUGGUCAGUGGGUGACCAAGUACCCGGUUGUAGCGGAAGAAACUUUUACUAAGGGUGAAACUGGAGCUUGCGUGCUUCAUGUUGUCAGGCACUAUGACCGCUCUAAGUUGAAGAUCCCGCUAACAAAGAACAACUUCGACAAAACAAAAAAGCAAGCACUACAUGAGUGCCUUAAACUACAGGGGAACUCGUCAAAGUUGGCGCACAAUGAACUCUGGACGGUACUAGCACCCAGUGACUCAUGGCUUGACUCCAGCUAG